ACCCGGGUGGCGAAAUGGUAGACGCGUGGGACUUAAAAUCCCUUGGCCGCAAGGCCGUGCCGGUUCGAGUCCGGCCUCGGGUA
Molecule: transfer RNA, 83 nt
Filed under: Gemmatimonadaceae bacterium
Lineage: Bacteria; Pseudomonadati; Gemmatimonadota; Gemmatimonadia; Gemmatimonadales; Gemmatimonadaceae
Description: tRNA-Leu
Rfam family: tRNA
About the family: Transfer RNA (tRNA) molecules are approximately 80 nucleotides in length. Their secondary structure includes four short double-helical elements and three loops (D, anti-codon, and T loops).
Source: RNAcentral